AAACCCUAAUUCUCUCUAAGCGCCGUCAAGAGUUUGGUUUUGCGAUUGUGGUCCCUCCGGUGGCUGGCUAUCAACGCCGGUGCCGGAGGGAGCCCGCCUUCUUUUUCCUUGCUUUGUAUGUUCUUUGUCUGUGGGAAUCGUUGUUUCCGAAACUUGAAUCUUCUUCGUAGGCGAGCUAUGGUGGUCGUUUGUUCCGGUCACGUUGUGCAGAUCUGGAUGAGGAAUUCCCAUCUCUUCUGAGAUUGAGGAUAGAUCUGUGUGAUUCGUGUUGUUGUUUUGCGGCUCCUUCUUCCGUCAUCUCCCUUCCGGCGGAGGACUACAAGUUGGCAGGAGGAUCUUCGAGGGCUUGGAUUUUGUGUGAAGGAGCAGGAGUGGCCGUGUGUCUGUGCACGGUUUUAAGUUUUGGUGCUUCUGUGUUUUAUGUCUUGCUCUGUCUCUUGGUUGAUGGUUGGUGUGGAGCUGUUCUAGUUCUUGGUAAAGUUAUUGUUUCAGGUUUUCUUCGGAGAGUUGGGUUCAGUGAUACGUCUGGCGCCAGAUUGGAGAUCGAGGAUCUUUUGACGGUGCAGUGCAGCCGCUGGGAGCGGUGCAGGUGCUUUCGCUGACGGUGUUACUGUGCUUUCUUCAACUCUAGUUCCUUUCCUGUCUGCAAUACAUGAAUGGUGGUUGGGCUCGUCUCUGAGAGGCUUUUUGUGUCUCGUCGCUCCAAUAUCCGUUAUCUCUCCGCUUGGCUUUCUUCUUUGAGUUGGCUCCUAUGCAGUAAUCCUUUCUUCUUGUUGCUGGAUAGUAUUUAUAAAUGGUUCUAAACUCUACUUGCAGCAACGGGUGAAGGCGUUCAUUGGGAUAUUCAGUUAUGGUUGUUUCCUUCGGUUCGAGGAGUUUGCUUGUGGUGCAAAGGUCCUUAUAGGGAAGGGUUUAUCCUGGAGCUUCCUUCUUUCAGGUGCUAUGGUCCUGUUCCGGCUCUCUUAUGAUGUUAAGAACUCUUUCAAAUCUAUCCAGAUUACUCUUGGUCAUUUAAGUUUCGUGGUUAGUUUGGCUUAGUAAAGUUGUAGUAAAGUUGUCUUGUUUGGACUUAAGCUUCCGGGGAUAUAUUCAUGUUCCGCCGGCUUUGUUUUCCGGGGAUAUAUCGUUUUUUCUCCGGCUCUGUUUCCCUGUUUGGGCUCUUGUAAAACUUUGAAUGCAUUAAUAAUAUAACUUCAGAGGGAAA
Molecule: long non-coding RNA, 1204 nt
Filed under: Brassica napus (rape)
Lineage: Eukaryota; Viridiplantae; Streptophyta; Magnoliopsida; Brassicales; Brassicaceae
Description: long non-coding RNA (BNAP_LNC003249)
Source: RNAcentral